UGGGGAAUAUUGCACAAUGGGCGCAAGCCUGAUGCAGCCAUGCCGCGUGUAUGAAGAAGGCCUUCGGGUUGUAAAGUACUUUCAGCGGGGAGGAAGGGAGUAAAGUUAAUACCUUUACUCAUUGACGUUACCCGCAGAAGAAGCACCGGCUAACUCCGUGCCAGCAGCCGCGGUAAUACGGAGGGUGCAAGCGUUAAUCGGAAUUACUGGGCGUAAAGCGCACGCAGGCGGUUUGUUAAGUCAGAUGUGAAAUCCCCGGGCUCAACCUGGGAACUGCAUCUGAUACUGGCAAGCUUGAGUCUCGUAGAGGGGGGUAGAAUUCCAGGUGUAGCGGUGAAAUGCGUAGAGAUCUGGAGGAAUACCGGUGGCGAAGGCGGCCCCAUGGACGAAGACUGACGCUCAGGUGCGAAAGCGUGGGGAGCAAACAGG
Molecule: ribosomal RNA, 429 nt
Filed under: Chloroflexota bacterium
Lineage: Bacteria; Bacillati; Chloroflexota
Description: Chloroflexi bacterium partial 16S ribosomal RNA
Rfam family: Bacterial small subunit ribosomal RNA
Source: RNAcentral